AAUUUUAAGGUCAAGCUACAAAGGGCGCAUGGUGAAUGCCUUGGCACUAGGAGCCGAAGAAGGACGCGAUAAGCUGCGAUAAGCCUUGGGUAGCCGCAAAUAGGCUGAGAUCCAGGGAUUUCCGAAUGAGGAAACUCACAUGGGUAACCCCAUGUAUCAUGCACUGAAUACAUAGGUGUAUGAGGGUAAACCCGGGGAACUGAAACAUCUAAGUACCCGGAGGAAGAGAAAGAAAAAUCGAUUUCCUAAGUAGCGGCGAGCGAACGGGAAAGAGCCCAAACCAGAAACUUGUUUCUGGGGUUGCGGAUAGAUCAUAAAAGAAGAGGUAUCUUAAUCGAAGAGGGCUGGAACGCCCUACCAUAGAAGGUAAUAGUCCUGUAGAUAAAAAGAGAAAACUUCGAGAUCUAAUCCAGAGUACCACGAGACACGUGAAACCUUGUGGGAAGCAGGGAGGACCACCUCCCAAGGCUAAAUACUACCUAGUGACCGAUAGUGAAGCAGUACCGUGAGGGAAAGGUGAAAAGAAC
Molecule: ribosomal RNA, 527 nt
Filed under: Clostridium botulinum
Lineage: Bacteria; Bacillati; Bacillota; Clostridia; Eubacteriales; Clostridiaceae
Description: partial 23S ribosomal RNA
Rfam family: Bacterial large subunit ribosomal RNA
Source: RNAcentral